Cinclus cinclus is the source of this 1586-nucleotide long non-coding RNA. RefSeq lists it as uncharacterized. The record is from RefSeq and is a predicted model, not a curated record. Lineage: Eukaryota; Metazoa; Chordata; Aves; Passeriformes; Cinclidae. The transcript has 2 exons.
ACAGGUGCCUGCUGGCCUGGAGCUGGAUACUUCUGCCUCUGCUUUCUUUGGGGGUUGAUGAUUCCUUAUGUUUAUGUUGGCGUGCCAGGCAAAUUGUUAAAGGUGAGAGAUGGAACUAAACCCCAAAGGAUUUUCUGCUCACUGAUGGCACGUGAGUUUUCUUGGGAAUUCUCUGCCAAAUCUGGUGAAUUGUUUUUGAAUGUGGCCAUGAGGAGAGUUGAACGUGCCCGUCCAGAUCUGCAAACAUGCGGUGCCAGAAGGAGAAGCCUUGAAAUGUAAACCGGGAUUUAUUCACCUGACUCACAGGUGUGUGUGCUGUGCCCAGGUCCCCUGUCCAAAUCCUGGACGGGGAGAAGCCAGGACUGCACAUUCCUUGUGAUAGGAAUUCAGGUUUUUCUGGGGGGGUCGGGGUGGGGGUUAAAUACAAAUGAGAUGCCAGGGAGGGAAUGGCUCCUACGUGUAAAUAUAUUUGCCCAAAAGGAGCCCUGCCCAGUCUGACUGCUGCCCAGUGCUGCUCCCUGACUGUACCCUCUCUUGGUGAGCCUCUGUCCCGCUGGCCGUGUUUUUGUUUUCUGGUUUUGUUUUUUUUUUUUUUUUUUUUUUUUUUUUUUUUUUUUUUUUUUUGUUUGUUUGUUUUUUUGUUUUUUUUUAUUUCAUCCUGCACCCCGAUCUUCAUUUUCUUCCCGUGUCCUCUCUGCUGCCACUCUCCCUUUCUGCCUCGUGUCCUCUGUGUCUGGUUUAUAAUGUGUAGACUAUAUGGAUAUAUGAAUUCCACGUAAGUAUGCCAAAUACAAAUAGAAAAAUGAAUUGAAAUAUAGUUUUAAAAUAAAGGGGUUUUAAUUUUCUGUUUUGUUAGAGGCCGGGCUUUUCCAUAAAGGAUAUAAAAAUGUGAAGAUAUAGAAUAUAUAAAUGUGUGUGUGUGUGUAUACAUAUAUAUACACACAUAAAAUACAAAUGUUAGUAAUAUAAAGAUUUCUUAGUAAAAAUAAUAUUGUACCCAUGUUGUAAUUGAUGCCAAUAUACAUUAAAUUCAAUAUCCAAAAAUAGGUAUUGAUUAUGAAUAUAAAUUAACAAACAUAUAUAUAUAUAAAGAAAACUUGAUGAAUGUGUGGUCAGUUGCUUAUGGCACCCAGGACUCCUCCACAAACACAGCUCAUGUAUGUGGGCACUUGUGCUGAGAAAUGAGGACUAAGGACACACUCUUUGUGCCACAACAAUUGGCCACCUCACCUUGGUCACCCUGAGUGCUUUGGGUGGAACAGGAAAUCAGGUUCCAUUGAGAAGCAAGAAAAGAAGCUAGUGAGCAAAAAUAAAUCAGGGAUAAACAAGGAGGAACCAGAUUUUGGGGGCGUAAAGCACAAAGUUAUUUACGUGAUGCAAACACAAGAAGUUGCGAAGCUUGUUUGGACCAUGGGUAGGGGAAGAGAGAAAAACUUUUGGCUCUAAAAGUCACAUUUUUAACUAGUGAAAUACAGAUUUCCACAUUCUGUGUGCCUUCCCCACCUUUUUCUUAUGCUCCUAAUGUUCCGGGGCAAAAAAUACAACCACCCAAAAUAUCUGAAUAAAAAUCAAUUUGAAAAUGGGAA